Molecule: long non-coding RNA, 1888 nt
Filed under: Cyanistes caeruleus (blue tit)
Lineage: Eukaryota; Metazoa; Chordata; Aves; Passeriformes; Paridae
Description: lncRNA (ENSCCEG00000024268.1)
Source: RNAcentral
AUGCCUCCCGCAUCCCGCAGGCUUUUGUUCCCAGGCUUUUGUCUGGGGCUGGGAAAGGGGCCAAGAUCCCUCAGCCUCCCCAGGGACACACAUGCAGACGGGGUCUUGCCUGCUUGGGAUGCUGAGAGGGAGACAGGAGGUGAGAGCUGCCUGUGCCCGCUGCCACAGGGCUUGGGGACAUCCCAUGAGCCAUCCUGGUGUCCCUUAGUGGCCUCCAGCCGUUGUCCCCCUUGCCUGUCACAUCUCAGCACUUUCUGCCCAUCCCUGGGAGCCCCUCAUGGGACAGGUCUUGGUCCAUCCUGCCCCCACUGUGUCCCCUCUUGGCAUCCUGCCACCAGCACACCCUGCAGGCUCUGUGCAUGGCCAGUGCCAGCAGCUCAUGCCCUCCCUGUGGACACCCCCAGAUGCCAGUUUACACCCACCACCCCUGGCACCUUCCAGGCAGAGUCACCGGCUGCAUCCCCGUCACUGGGACCCUACAGAAGCUCAAGCAAAAAUUUUGUGGGUUUUACAGUGACCUCUGGCCCUCAGGAACCCAUAAUCUGGCUUUUCAUUUACAUCCCAAAAGCCACUUUAAUUAUACCUUGGGGAGGGAUUACUUCAGGAAACUGCUUUUUGGGGCAAAAUGUUGAUGGGAAAAAAUCCUAUGAACAGUCAAGCAACCCUGAAGGGACCGAGGAGACUCGAGAGCCAGCCUCAAGCCUGUCCCUGACAGUGACAAGAAACACCUUGAUGAACUCUAAGCAAAGCAGCUCCCUGAGUCCUGUGAUCACUGCUGAGUCUCUGCCUUCAUUUUGGACCAGGAGGACCUUUGGAGCCACCCUCACCAGAGACCACAGUGGACAAAAACAAGUAUUUAAGUCAAGGAAGUUAAUACAAAUUAAUUAAAAGCUCACAACAUUUUUUUUUUUUUUUUUUUUUAAUUUUUGGUAUUGAAAUGGUCCUGUCCCAAGGCCAUGCAGGGAGCCCCUGGCUGAACCCACUGUGAGGUCUGGGGGCACAGGCACAGGAGCUAAAGCAGACCCGACCCAGGCUGAGCUGUAGCUCCAAAGCUGCUCAUUUUGGGGUUGGUUCAGCAAUGCCCAAGUUUAAUUUUCAUCAGCAAAAUUAAUCUGUGGAGUUAUUUUCCCUUCAUCCCCCUCCCCUUCCUCUCCUACCCGCUUUAUUCAAAGAAUUUGAUCAUUUCUCCCAGGAGCUCGGCACCAUUAACAUUCACUCCCAACGCGUGUGAGCUGUGCUGCAUCCCCAAGUGCUGCUCCUGCUGCCAGCCCUGGUACUCAACCAUGCUCAGGGGAAACCUGGCCAUCAGCUUCUCCUUCCAACAGCCUGGGCUGGGAGAGCCCCUCCACGCCCUGAAUCCACACCUGGCACCCCACAGAUCCACACCUGGCUGCCACAGCACAGCAAAGGAGGAUGGCAUCCUGAGCUCCAGCUUCUCCAGCAAAUUAAAGCCAAGGGGCUCUGGAAAGAACACCCAAGGCAGAGGAAUCACCAAGAGUUACAAGGUUUGGUGGUUUAAGUCAAUCAGAUUGGUGACCUGGGGCUUUCCUGGAGUCGUAUAAAUUUUGCAGACUUGUUUUUCACUAAUAAGGGUUAACUAACAAAUUACUGUUGUUUUAUUGCUAUUAUUACUGUUAUUAUCAUUAAUGUUAUUAAAUAUUGCAGGCCAGGCUGCCUUCCCCAGCACUAGCACUGAGGCACCAUGGUUGGCACAGCCUUGUCCAUUCAGCACCGUGCCUUGGCUCUGAAUGCUCCAUAGGUCUGUGUGCUGUAGAUCUUUGUGUAAUCUAUAGAAUCUAUAUCGGAAGGUGUUUGGUCUGAGAGUUUGCUGUCCUUGCUCAGUUGAGAUCUGAACUGGGCCCAAGAGCUUUGGAAAUUGGGAACAGAG